This 608-nucleotide unclassified non-coding RNA is filed under the name Paraconiothyrium brasiliense. RNAcentral's name for it is "sequence contains ITS1, 5.8S rRNA gene and ITS2". The stretch from base 248 to 401 matches the Rfam family "5.8S ribosomal RNA". The record is from RNAcentral. Lineage: Eukaryota; Fungi; Ascomycota; Dothideomycetes; Pleosporales; Didymosphaeriaceae.
GUAACAAGGUUUCCGUAGGUGAACCUGCGGAAGGAUCAUUAUCUAUUCCAUGAGGUGCGGUCGCGGCCCUCGGCGGGAGCAACAGCUGCCGUCGGGCGGUAGAGGUAACACUUUCACGCGCCGCAUGUCUGAAUCCUUUUUUUACGAGCACCUUUCGUUCUCCUUCGGCGGGGCAACCUGCCGUUGGAACCUAUCAAAACCUUUUUUUGCAUCUAGCAUUACCUGUUCUGAUACAAACAAUCGUUACAACUUUCAACAAUGGAUCUCUUGGCUCUGGCAUCGAUGAAGAACGCAGCGAAAUGCGAUAAGUAGUGUGAAUUGCAGAAUUCAGUGAAUCAUCGAAUCUUUGAACGCACAUUGCGCCCCUUGGUAUUCCAUGGGGCAUGCCUGUUCGAGCGUCAUCUACACCCUCAAGCUCUGCUUGGUGUUGGGCGUCUGUCCCGCCUCUGCGCGCGGACUCGCCCCAAAUUCAUUGGCAGCGGUCCUUGCCUCCUCUCGCGCAGCACAUUGCGCUUCUCGAGGUGCGCGGCCCGCGUCCACGAAGCAACAUUACCGUCUUUGACCUCGGAUCAGGUAGGGAUACCCGCUGAACUUAAGCAUAUCAAUAA